Equus quagga is the source of this 627-nucleotide long non-coding RNA. RefSeq lists it as uncharacterized. The transcript has 3 exons. The record is from RefSeq and is a predicted model, not a curated record. NCBI's taxonomy places the organism in Eukaryota, Metazoa, Chordata, Mammalia, Perissodactyla, Equidae.
GCAGGUGAGCUUCAGCAGGUGCAGGCAGAAGUUUGCAGUGGCUUCUGUCCAUCCCUCUAGGAAUCACCCACGUCAGUGCUUCAGGCAACUGAGAUCACUGAUGGUGGGUUUUGGGGUGAUGUUUAUCACCGAUUUAAAGCUCUGAUUGUAUAGAGCUUUAAGCAAAAACUAAGGACACGUUACUGGAGUAGUUCACAGAGUUGAAGUAGAAGAUGAAGAAGCAGGCACGUUCAGGAACCAGAAGGGCUGCUGCGGGCUGGGUUCCCCAGGAGGUGGACUCUUAGUUGAGACUAGGAGGCCAGGCACUGACAACCAGCAGGGCAGCUGUCUUCAGCUGAGGCGUUCCCUGGAGGAGCCGGGCAGCUCAGGGCCUUCUGCCAGCAGCUCCCAGCAGCUUGAGAAUGGGGCCUAUGAGGAGGGGAUAAAGACUGAAUGAGGUCAGAAGAGUGGGGCCUUAGUCCAGUAGGACUAAUGCCCUAAUAAGAAGAGGAAGAGACACCAAGCUCUCUCUCUCCACCGCAUGAGGACACAGCGAGAAGGCAGCCGUCCGCAAGCCAAGGAGAGGCCUCACCAGAAUGCGAGCAUGCUGGCAGCUUGACCUUGGACUUUCCAGUCUCUAGAAUUGUG